RNAcentral lists this transfer RNA (81 nucleotides) under Monascus purpureus. Its description in RNAcentral is "tRNA-Leu". It matches the Rfam family "tRNA". From Rfam's summary of the family: Transfer RNA (tRNA) molecules are approximately 80 nucleotides in length. Their secondary structure includes four short double-helical elements and three loops (D, anti-codon, and T loops). Further hydrogen bonds mediate the characteristic L-shaped molecular structure. tRNAs have two regions of fundamental functional importance: the anti-codon, which is responsible for specific mRNA codon recognition, and the 3' end, to which the tRNAs corresponding amino acid is attached (by aminoacyl-tRNA synthetases). tRNAs cope with the degeneracy of the genetic code in two manners: having more than one tRNA (with a specific anti-codon) for a particular amino acid; and 'wobble' base-pairing, i.e. permitting non-standard base-pairing at the 3rd anti-codon position. Lineage: Eukaryota; Fungi; Ascomycota; Eurotiomycetes; Eurotiales; Aspergillaceae. The record is from RNAcentral.
ACGGAUGUGCUGGAAUGGUAGACAGGUUCCGCUUAGGACGGAAUAGUUAAAACUGUAUAAGUUCAAGUCUUAUUAUCCGUA